This 1343-nucleotide ribosomal RNA is filed under the name uncultured bacterium. RNAcentral's name for it is "16S ribosomal RNA". It matches the Rfam family "Bacterial small subunit ribosomal RNA", at positions 28 to 1378 of the family's 1533-position model. The record is from RNAcentral.
GACGAACGCUUGCGGCGUGCUUAACACAUGCAAGUCGAACGGAAAGGCCCUGCUUUUGUGGGGUGCUCGAGUGGCGAACGGGUGAGUAACACGUGAGUAACCUGCCCUUGACUUUGGGAUAACUUCAGGAAACUGGGGCUAAUACCGGAUAGGAGCUCCUGCUGCAUGGUGGGGGUUGGAAAGUUUCGGCGGUUGGGGAUGGACUCGCGGCUUAUCAGCUUGUUGGUGGGGUAGUGGCUUACCAAGGCUUUGACGGGUAGCCGGCCUGAGAGGGUGACCGGCCACAUUGGGACUGAGAUACGGCCCAGACUCCUACGGGAGGCAGCAGCGGGGAAUAUUGCACAAUGGGCGGAAGCCUGAUGCAGCAACGCCGCGUGCGGGAUGACGGCCUUCGGGUUGUAAACCGCUUUCGCCUGUGACGAAGCGUGAGUGACGGUAAUGGGUAAAGAAGCACCGGCUAACUACGUGCCAGCAGCCGCGGUGAUACGUAGGGUGCGAGCGUUGUCCGGAUUUAUUGGGCGUAAAGGGCUCGUAGGUGGUUGAUCGCGUCGGAAGUGUAAUCUUGGGGCUUAACCCUGAGCGUGCUUUCGAUACGGGUUGACUUGAGGAAGGUAGGGGAGAAUGGAAUUCCUGGUGGAGCGGUGGAAUGCGCAGAUAUCAGGAGGAACACCAGUGGCGAAGGCGGUUCUCUGGGCCUUUCCUGACGCUGAGGAGCGAAAGCGUGGGGAGCGAACAGGCUUAGAUACCCUGGUAGUCCACGCUGUAAACGGUGGGUACUAGGUGUGGGGUCCAUUCCACGGGUUCCGUGCCGUAGCUAACGCUUUAAGUACCCCGCCUGGGGAGUACGGCCGCAAGGCUAAAACUCAAAGGAAUUGACGGGGCCCCGCACAAGCGGCGGAGCAUGCGGAUUAAUUCGAUGCAACGCGUAGAACCUUACCUGGGUUUGACAUGGAUCGGGAGUGCUCAGAGAUGGGUGUGCCUCUUUUGGGGUCGGUUCACAGGUGGUGCAUGGCUGUCGUCAGCUCGUGUCGUGAGAUGUUGGGUUAAGUCCCGCAACGAGCGCAACCCUUGUUCACUGUUGCCAGCACGUUAUGGUGGGGACUCAGUGGAGACCGCCGGGGUCAACUCGGAGGAAGGUGGGGAUGACGUCAAGUCAUCAUGCCCCUUAUGUCCAGGGCUUCACGCAUGCUACAAUGGCUGGUACAGAGAGUGGCGAGCCUGUGAGGGUGAGCGAAUCUCGGAAAGCCGGUCUCAGUUCGGAUUGGGGUCUGCAACUCGACCUCAUGAAGUCGGAGUCGCUAGUAAUCGCAGAUCAGCAACGCUGCGGUGAAUACGUUCCCGGG